AUGGUAGAGCAGGGGCAUCCACGGGGUCCCGGGGGCAGUGGGGGGGGGCAGUGGCUGCCUGGGAUAAAUGAGACCCGGACAAUGGUAAGAGCCAUCCCGUCAGGGGUGGGGGCUGGGAGGGGGGUCAGGGGCCUCGCUGCCUUGGAGGAGGCUAGGGGUUUGGUCAGUGUCUGGAAUGGAAAGAGUAGGAUGGGGGUGUGGCGGCACGCACGGGGAAGAGGACGAAGACUGAGGUCUUGGAAUGGUCACAGAGGACGAGGAUGUUUAUGCCUCGUGACUGUUCACCCCAAGGCUCCCCAGCAGCGCGGCUCUCUCGUGCCACGGGAGUCAGGCAGGCGGCUCUGGGGCUGUCACCACCCCUCCCCGGCCGCGGGCCGUGGGGCAGGGAGGGGCACGGGCUGACCCUGGUCUAGAUGCCCGGGCUGAUGUGAUCUGACCUGUGCUGCGGCGCCCACACCCAGUGGCUUAUGAUGUUCAGGUGGAGCCCCAAGCCGGGGAGUCAGGACAAGUGGCCCUGACACCUAAGUGACAGGGACGGCAGGUGGAAGAGCCUGGACCUGGGGGACAGCAGCCAGGCCGGAACCACCCCAGUGGUCAGGGAGGACAUAAGCCCCGUCACCUGCUGCCAAACACACAAACCACUGCUCCCAGCCCCUGGCACACACUGGGCUCGUGGCCCCUCCGCGGUUCUCCCGGAGCCAGGGAAGAACCCGUGCGGGAGCCAGGCCCGGCCGCCUGAGGGACUUUACACCCGAGGGACCAAGGCUUCCACCGGGAGACGCCUCCGCGUUCCACUGAAUUGGAAGAGGAGACUGGCGCCCGGCCCGCGGAGGCUCCUGCCUCUUGGCCGCUCCAGUGGGCAGAGAAGGGAGGCUCGAGGGGGCCCAGGCGAGCGGGGCUGCCGCUCAAAAGUGCGUGGACGCGGGUAGGAACCGGGGCGGCUCCUCCCACUGCGGGAUCCGACGGCUCACAGCGGGCUGCAGGCUUCCCACCCGCAGGGGCCACGGGGCCAGGGCGCUCUGCUCGGAGGGUGCCGGUUCCCUGACCAGGCCCGCACCCGGCUGCUGAGGGGCUGGUGGCGGACGGGGGAGCCAGCCGCUGGUGGUGCCCCGGGGCGACCUCCACCGCACGGGCACGGCUGCCCCCUCCACCCGCUGCUGUGGCCGCCGGUGGAAGCAAUAGGGUCCACUUGUGAGAUGUCAAGGGA
RNAcentral lists this long non-coding RNA (1207 nucleotides) under Canis lupus familiaris (dog). RNAcentral's name for it is "lncRNA (ENSCAFG00030003192.1)". The record is from RNAcentral. Lineage: Eukaryota; Metazoa; Chordata; Mammalia; Carnivora; Canidae.